GACGAACGCUGGCGGCGUGCUUAACACAUGCGAGUCGAACGGAAAGGCCCUGCUUUUGUGGGGUGCUCGAGUGGCGAACGGGUGAGUAACACGUGAGUAACCUGCCCUUGACUUUGGGAUAACUUCAGGAAACUGGGGCUAAUACCGGAUAGGAGCUCCUGCUGCAUGGUGGGGGUUGGAAAGUUUCGGCGGUUGGGGAUGGACUCGCGGCUUAUCAGCUUGUUGGUGGGGUAGUGGCUUACCAAGGCUUUGACGGGUAGCCGGCCUGAGAGGGUGACCGGCCACAUUGGGACUGAGAUACGGCCCAGAUUCCUACGGGAGGCAGCAGUGGGGAAUAUUGCACAAUGGGCGGAAGCCUGAUGCAGCAACGCCGCGUGCGGGAUGACGGCCUUCGGGUUGUAAACCGCUUUCGCCUGUGACGAAGCGUGAGUGACGGUAAUGGGUAAAGAAGCACCGGCUAACUACGUG
This 468-nucleotide ribosomal RNA is filed under the name uncultured bacterium. Its description in RNAcentral is "partial 16S ribosomal RNA". It matches the Rfam family "Bacterial small subunit ribosomal RNA", at positions 28 to 507 of the family's 1533-position model. The record is from RNAcentral.